AUGACACCCCCGGUGGCCCUUCGGAACGAGCUACAGGGGGUCUCCAGUUCAGCAAGGGCUGAUCUGUUCCGAGGCGCCAGCUGCAACAUCGAGAGUGAGGUGCUGGCAACUUUGGCAAAUGGCCAGGACCCACAUGCUUCAGGAACAAACACCGGCUUCAGAGUCAGACACAUUAGGCUCCCCAGCGGGGAUACCUACUCCGGUACAUUGUUGGGAAGCACGCCGGAGGGUUCAGGGCGGUAUACCUGGUCAGAUGGUACUAUUUAUGAUGGCGAGUGGAGGACGGGGAUGAGGCAUGGGCAAGGAAAGACGUUGUGGCCUUCCGGGGCCAGCUAUGAGGGCGAGUAUGCCGGUGGAUACAUAUAUGGUGAAGGCACGUACACUGGACAGGAUAACAUCGUCUACAAGGGACGGUGGAAGCUGAACCGUAAGCAUGGUCUCGGAUGCCAGACGUAUCCUAAUGGAGACAUGUUCCAAGGUUCUUGGAUUCAGGGAGAAAUACAAGGUCACGGAAAGUACACAUGGGAAAAUGGGAACACGUACACCGGCAAUAUGAAAAAUGGCAAGAUGUCCGGAAAGGGAACAUUUACUUGGAAAAACGGUGAUUCGUACGAAGGCAACUGGUUAGAUGGCAUGAUGCACGGGUAUGGUAUCUAUACAUGGAGUGAUUGUGGGUACUAUGUCGGAACCUGGACCAGGGGAUUGAAGGAUGGGAAAGGUACAUUAUAUCCUAGUGGUUGCAGAGUGCCUGCUGGUGAUGAGCUGUAUAUAAAAAACCUAAGGAACAGAGGUGUGCUGCCUGACCCUAGAAGGCAGAAUCAUGGUUCACGCAUACUUCACUCUUCGUCAGUUGACAUGGGAAAUAUGAAGGUUGGCAUAAAUCGGGACUCUGCCUCGUCUAGAAGGAACUCAAGUGAUUCAAGAAAUGUGUCCUUGGAAAGAAGGUGGAGUCUUGAGGUAGCUAUUGAGAAAUUCAUCGGAAAUGAAAAUAGUGAAACCUCUGAAAACAUUGAUGAUUCUGAGUUGCCUAUACUUGAAAGGGAAUACAUGCAAGGUGUUCUAAUCAGCGAGGUAGUACUUGACAGGAGUUUUUCGGGCUCAUCCAAGAAGGCAAAGCGCCGGCAGAAGAAGACGGUGAGAGAGACUAAAAAACCCGGAGAGGCAAUAAUUAAGGGUCAUAGAAGCUAUGAUCUAAUGCUAAGCUUGCAGCUUGGAAUCAGGUACACAGUUGGAAAGAUAACACCCAUUCAAAAACGUGAAGUUCGUGCUUCAGAUUUUGGUCCAAGAGCAAGUUUCUGGAUGAACUUCCCAAAGGAAGGAUCACGACUUACUCCUUCGCAUCCUGCAGAGGAUUUUAAAUGGAAGGACUAUUGUCCCAUGGUUUUCAGAAACUUGAGAGAGAUGUUCAAGAUUGAUGCUGCCGAUUAUAUGAUCUCCAUAUGUGGAAAUUCUGCACUUAGGGAGCUAUCUUCUCCUGGAAAGAGUGGAAGUGUAUUCUUCCUAUCACAAGAUGAUCGGUUCAUGAUUAAGACUCUCCGGAAAUCUGAAGUGCAGGUUCUUUUACGAAUGCUUCCAAACUAUUAUAAUCAUGUCCAUACUUACGAGAACACACUCAUAACUAAGUUUUUUGGCCUGCACAGGGUAAAACCUUCUAGUGGUCAAAAGUUCCGUUUUGUUGUAAUGGGAAAUAUGUUCUGCACAGAAUUAAGAAUUCACCGGAGAUUUGAUUUGAAAGGUUCAUCCUUAGGCCGUUCUACUGACAAAAUUGAAAUCGAUGAGAACACAACUCUGAAGGAUUUGGAUCUGAACUAUUCCUUUUAUCUGGAACCUUCUUGGCGAGAGGCUCUACUUAAGCAGAUAAAGACCGAUAGCGAAUUUCUGAAGUCACAACGGAUAAUGGAUUACAGUCUACUGCUUGGUGUCCAUUACAGAGCUCCUCAGCAUCUACGAACACGUGCUUCAUAUCGUCGAACCAUGACAGCAGAGAGAUUGACAGUUCUUUCAGAGGAAGAUGCCCAGGAGGAUGAUGCUUUUAACUACCCAGAAGGAUUGGUUCUGGUUCAAAGAGCAAACGACGAGAACAGUGUGGUCGUUGGGCCUCACAUAAGGGGAAGCCGAUUGCGGUCCUCGGCUGCUGGAUUUGGGGAAGUAGAUCUCCUGCUUCCUGGCACAGCUAGGGUUCAGAUCCAGCUGGGGGUGAACAUGCCGGCGAGGGCGGAGCAGAUCCCCAAGGAGGAUGACAGCAAGUCGUUCUACGAGGUGUAUGACGUGGUGCUCUACCUGGGCAUCAUCGACAUCCUGCAGGAGUACAACAUCACCAAGAAGAUCGAGCACGCCGUCAAGUCGAUGCAGUACGACUCGGUCUCCAUCUCCGCGGUCGACCCCGAGUUCUACUCGGAGCGCUUCCUCAAGUUCAUCCAGACCGUCUUCCCCGAGAACUCGUAG
This 2445-nucleotide ribosomal RNA is filed under the name Triticum aestivum (bread wheat). Its description in RNAcentral is "partial small subunit ribosomal RNA". The record is from RNAcentral. Lineage: Eukaryota; Viridiplantae; Streptophyta; Magnoliopsida; Poales; Poaceae.